Molecule: long non-coding RNA, 449 nt
Organism: Mauremys reevesii (Reeves's turtle)
Lineage: Eukaryota; Metazoa; Chordata; Testudines; Geoemydidae
Exons: 3
Source: RefSeq, a predicted model, not a curated record
CAGAGGACCUUUAAAUAGCCCCCAGAGCCCUGGGGUAGCAGGGCUGCAGGGUAGGGCUUGCCGUGCUCCGGUCGGAGCUCCAGCCGGGGCCGCGGGGCUUGCCGUGGUCCAGCCAGAGCUCCAGCCGGCGCUUUGGUCAGGGGAGCGGGGCCACGGAAGACCCCAGAGCAGACCGCAGCCGGGGGAUUCUAGCACCUUCCUAUGAUGCAUCUGGUACAGACCAUUGUCAGAUACAGGAUCCUGAAUGAUUGCUCUGAUCUGGUGUGGCAAUUCCUAUGUUCCUGUGCAAACUUUUUUUGGCCUGGCACAGUGGGGCUCCAGUCCUGGUCAGGGUCACUGGCAUACCCAAAUACUAAUAGUCAAUAAUAAAUAAAUGAUGAUAUACCAGGCAAUAUACCCCGCCCCGCCAUGUGAUAUGAGAAGAUCCAUAGGAAACCUGGAUCAUAAUA